Molecule: ribosomal RNA, 490 nt
Filed under: Cultellus attenuatus
Lineage: Eukaryota; Metazoa; Mollusca; Bivalvia; Adapedonta; Cultellidae
Description: partial 16S ribosomal RNA
Rfam family: Bacterial large subunit ribosomal RNA
Source: RNAcentral
CAAAAACAUCGCCUCUUGAUAUUAUAUUACGAGAGGUUGGGCCUGCCCGGUGAAUAACUAUUUAAACGGCCGCAGUGAAUAACUGUGCUAAGGUAGCGUAAUAAAUUGUCUCUUAAUUGGAGAAGGGUAUGAAUGGUUUGACGUGGUGGUAUCUGUCUCAGUAAUAAUAAGGUGAAGUUUUCUUUUUAGUUAAAAGACUUGAAUGGCGUUAAAAGACGAGAAGACCCUGUCGAGCUUGAUAAAAAUAUAGAGUGUUUUUGUAUAAUAAGUUUAGCUGGGGCAGCUGAAAACCAUAAAAUAGUUUUCUUUUUUUUGAAGAUCCGGUUUAUACUGAUCAUAAGAAAAAGCUACCGCAGGGAUAACAGCGUUAUCUUUCCUGAGAGAACUAAUUGAAGGGAAGGUUUGCGACCUCGAUGUUGGAUUAAAAUUUCUUUUUGGUGUAGCAGCUAAAAUAGUAGGACUGUUCGUCCUUUAAAAUUUUACGUGAUCU